UAUAUUCCACCGGAAAUUAUAUUGUGUUUAGUGCUAUUUAACUUAAACAGCUAAUUGAUCUAUAGAUGAAUAGGUUACAGGAAUCAACCACCCAUCAAUUAUUUCACAAAUACCUAACUCUCUGUCAGCAUGUGAUAAUUAACAUCUGUCCUAAAGAGAACAUGGUUUCGUAGGUGACACAAGCAGCUCUGAGAAACACUCACAACCUUCAACUGCAACACAUAUACAAGCUUACAUAUACAAGAUGCUACCCAGUUGAAAUUAUAAUUCCUAAUUUGCAAUAUUCAAUUGCAAACGACUGAAGCUUCUCAACAAACACUAGGCCCUCUGGCUGAAGUUUGCGAAGCCAGGAUGGGGUUGCCCAUUGAGAGUCUGGUUGUUGGUGGA
This 387-nucleotide unclassified non-coding RNA is filed under the name Hevea brasiliensis (rubber tree). The record is from RNAcentral. Lineage: Eukaryota; Viridiplantae; Streptophyta; Magnoliopsida; Malpighiales; Euphorbiaceae.